GGAAGUUAAGAAACUGUUUAUUAACUUUUAACUAAAAAAGCUAAGAACCGGUUCUUAAAUAAAGACUUUAAGAACCGGUUCUUAGCUUUUUUAGUUAAAAGAUAAGAAACAGUUUCUUAACUUUC
RNAcentral lists this microRNA precursor (125 nucleotides) under Brassica carinata (Ethiopian mustard). RNAcentral describes it as "MIR9563 microRNA precursor family". It matches the Rfam family "MIR9563 microRNA precursor family". RNAcentral also lists the same sequence under 1 other name. Lineage: Eukaryota; Viridiplantae; Streptophyta; Magnoliopsida; Brassicales; Brassicaceae. The record is from Rfam by way of RNAcentral.